GCCCGAACAAUUGCUUGAUUGGGUUGUCUUUGCUUCUUUACUAUCCUUCAAAUUCACUUGAUUGUCACAGGUGAUUUUUGAUUAGGAAAAUUUCUAGAUGCAGAAGGCCUUGCUUCCUCGGUAUCUGGCACACCAAACGACAUGUGCCCUGAGCUCCUUGCCGGCAUACCCUAUGGCUAUAAAUCUGAUAUAUGGUCGCUUGGAUACUGUAUGUUUGACAUUGCUGCACAUCCACCCCCGUUUAAAGCUUCUGUAAGUUGAUUUUUCAGCUAUCUGAACUUCGUAAACAAUACCUCGAAAAGUUAUACUUGUUAC
Molecule: long non-coding RNA, 315 nt
Organism: Capsicum annuum
Lineage: Eukaryota; Viridiplantae; Streptophyta; Magnoliopsida; Solanales; Solanaceae
Exons: 3
Source: RefSeq, a predicted model, not a curated record